GGUACUGCCAGCUAUUACGUUUCUCUAAACAAUAGCUAAAACAUUUUCCUUUGGAUUUCCUUCCUCAUCUUUCUCUUCAAACAACAUAUCUUAGCCCAUAUUCAACUUAGAAAAUUAAAAUAUCUAUUAGUGGCUUUGCAGGAGUAACUUUUCCUCUGUGUAAGUUUUAAGACUUUUCAAAUUAGUAUAAACUGUGCUUUUUAUAAAUGUACUGCUUGUUAUCCAAUUCCAGAUCACAAAUACAGGUGUAAAAUCAUACAAUUUGCAAUGCAUGCUACUUCUACCAAAUAACUCUUCAUCCUUCAAAAUAUUUUCAUGUAUUAUUACUUUCUAUUUUCAAUCUGUUGGGCAGAGAACUGCACCCACUUCAACUCUGAAUCAAUUCUCUGAGCAAAUGUCAAAAUUUAUCCCAUCACAGACUUUAUUUAAAUGUGUUCUUGUAGUCAACUAAUUCUGUUACUGCAUUUGGAGGGAAAAAUCUAUUGAAUUUGCCUUGUGGGAUUUAUUUUUCAUAAGCCACACUUCGUUAUUGCUUUUAAUUCCAAUAUCUUCUGAAGUGCUACAGAUUUUUCUUUCAUAAAGAGCAUUUGUUAAUAUACUAAGGAUUGAUGUUACUGAGGAGUAAUUUCUAGGCUUCCUGUUCUAAUGCUCUUUGAAAUGGAUUAUGGUAUUUGGCCUCACAUAUUACCCCAGUUCACUAUAACCUCAGGAAAAACGAGUGGUAUUUCCAAGUUAACCAACUACCAUGCUCUCUAGAAUGUAUAGUACAGGUAACUUGAUAUUUUAGGACCCUGAUUCUUUUUGUUUAUGCUUUUUAAUAAUUUUUAUUUUUUCCAUCAUAGUUGGUUUACAGUGUUCUGCCAGUUUUAUGCUGUAUAGCAAGGUGACCCAGUCACACAUACAUAUAUACAUUCUUUUUCUCACAUUAUCAUGCUCUAUCAUAAGUGACUAGAUAACAGUUCCCAGUGCUAUAAGAGCAGGAUCUCAUUGCUUAUCCAUUUCAAAGGCAAUAGUUUGCACCUAUUAACCCCAAAUUCCCAGUCCAACCCACUCUCUCCCCUUCCCCUUUGGCAAGCACAAGUCUGUUCUCUGAGUCCAGGACACCCUGCUUUUUUUUAAAACCAAAUCAUGUAUUAUGCAUUCUGAUUAUGAAAGUAAUAUGUUUAUAAUAUGUAAGAUCAAAUAAGAAAAAUUAAAACACAAAUCACCUCUUACCCAGAGAUAAUCACAAUUAAUAUUUUAGUUAUAUUUUCAAUUACAUGUAUGUUUAUGUAUUUUUAAAAAUGAUAAUGGAUCAUACUAUUCACAUAUUUUGUCCAUUUUUGAAUGACAUAUACUUAUACAUAUACAAGUCAUACUUAUUUCAGGUAAUUUAUAGUUUCUAAUUUUUAUAAAUUUUUAUAAUAAAUGCUAAAAUCAGCCCAUAUAAAAAGAGUGAUAACUUACUUUUAUUGAGUAUCUAUUAUUUGUUAGACAUUUUACAUACAAAUUUCUUUCUGUACACUCUUUAAGUUGCAAAGUAGGAAUUAUUACCUUCUCAUUAUAGAUGAAAAAAGAACUGGAUUACCUUUUUAAAGUUAAUCAAUGCCAAAUAUCUAGAAAGUGAAGUAAUUAGGAUUCAAAACUAGACAGGCUUAUGUGGAUUUCUGCUUUUAUCAUUUAUGUUACAUGUCCCUAGAGUAAAUCACUGAAAGUAAAUUAACUAUUUCAUGGAGAAAACCCAUCCUAAAUCAUUUACUGUAUCAUCCCACCCAAAGAGACUAUAUUCUUAUCUAUAUUCUAAAGACUUAUUUAGGAGUUGUUGUUGUGGCUCAGCAGUAUCCAUGAAGAUGCAGAUUUGAUGAUCCCUCACCUUGCUCAGUGGGUUAAGGAUUCAGUCAUUGCCUUGAACUGUGGUGUAGGUUGCAGACUGGGCUCAGAUCUGGCUGUGGCUGUGGCUGUGGCUGUGGCGAAGACCAGCAGCUGCAGCUCUGAUUUGACUCCUAGCCUAGGAACUUCCAUAUGUUGCAGAUGCAGCCCUGAAAAGCAAAAGACUUUUUUAAAAAUCCCCAUUAUGUAUAUAUACCACAUCUUCCUAAUCCAAUCCUCUGUCGAUGGACAUUUGGGUUGUUUCCAUGUCCUGGCUAUUGCGAAUAGUGUUGCAAUGAACAUGCGGAUGCAUGUGUCUCUUUUAAGUAGAGUUUUGUCCGGAUAGAUGCCCAAGAGUGGGAUUGUGGGGUCAUAUGGAAGUUCUAUGUAUAGAUUUAUAAGGUAUCUCCAAACUGUUCUCCAUAGUGGCUGUACCAGUUUACAUUCUCACCAACAGUGCCGGAGAGAGAGGUAGGGAGUGGGAGGGAUGGGGAGCUUGGGCUUAUCAG
Molecule: long non-coding RNA, 2357 nt
Filed under: Sus scrofa (pig)
Lineage: Eukaryota; Metazoa; Chordata; Mammalia; Artiodactyla; Suidae
Description: lncRNA (ENSSSCG00050063933.1)
Source: RNAcentral